AUUGAACGCUGGCGGCAUGCUUUACACAUGCAAGUCGAACGGCAGCACGGACUUCGGUCUGGUGGCGAGUGGCGAACGGGUGAGUAAUACAUCGGAACGUGCCCAGUUGUGGGGGAUAACUACUCGAAAGAGUAGCUAAUACCGCAUGAGAACUGAGGUUGAAAGCAGGGGAUCGUAAGACCUUGCGCAACUGGAGCGGCCGAUGGCAGAUUAGGUAGUUGGUGGGAUAAGAGCUUACCAAGCCGACGAUCUGUAGCUGGUCUGAGAGGACGACCAGCCACACUGGGACUGAGACACGGCCCAGACUCCUACGGGAGGCAGCAGUGGGGAAUUUUGGACAAUGGGCGAAAGCCUGAUCCAGCAAUGCCGCGUGCAGGAUGAAGGCCUUCGGGUUGUAAACUGCUUUUGUACGGAACGAAAAGCUUCGGGUUAAUACCCUGGAGUCAUGACGGUGCCGUAAGAAUAAGCACCGGCUAACUCUGUGCCAGCAGCCGCGGUAAUACAGAGGGUGCAAGCGUUGUUCGGAAUUAUUGGGCGUAAAGCGCGUGUAGGCGGCCUGGCAAGUUGGGUGUGAAAGCCCUCGGCUUAACCGAGGAAGUGCGCCCAAAACUACGAGGCUUGAGUACCGGAGAGGGUGGCGGAAUUCCCGGUGUAGAGGUGAAAUUCGUAGAUAUCGGGAGGAACACCAGUGGCGAAGGCGGCCACCUGGACGGAUACUGACGCUGAGACGCGAAAGCGUGGGUAGCAAACAGGAUUAGAUACCCUGGUAGUCCACGCCGUAAACGAUGAGCGCUAGGUGUUGCGGGUGUUGACCCCUGCAGUGCCGCAGCUAACGCAUUAAGCGCUCCGCCUGGGAAGUACGGCCGC
RNAcentral lists this ribosomal RNA (867 nucleotides) under uncultured bacterium. Its description in RNAcentral is "bacterial SSU rRNA". It matches the Rfam family "Bacterial small subunit ribosomal RNA", at positions 28 to 889 of the family's 1533-position model. The record is from RNAcentral.